GACGAACGCUGGCGGCGUGCCUAAUACAUGCAAGUAGAACGCUGAAGGAGGAGCUUGCUUCUCCGGAUGAGUUGCGAACGGGUGAGUAACGCGUAGGUAACCUGCCUGGUAGCGGGGGAUAACUAUUGGAAACGAUAGCUAAUACCGCAUAAGAGUAGAUGUCGCAUGACAUUUGCUUAAAAGGUGCAACUGCACCACUACCAGAUGGACCUGCGUUGUAUUAGCUAGUUGGUGAGGUAACGGCUCACCAAGGCAACGAUACAUAGCCGACCUGAGAGGGUGAUCGGCCACACUGGGACUGGGACACGGCCCAGACGCCUACGGGAGGCAGCAGUAGGGAAUCUUCGGCAAUGGACGGAAGGCUGACCGAGCAACGCCGCGUGAGUGAAGAAGGUUUUCGGAUCGGAAAGCUCUGUUGUAAGAGAAGAACGAGUGUGAGAGUGGAAAGUUCACACUGUGACGGUAUCUUACCAGAAAGGGACGGCUAACUACGUG
Molecule: ribosomal RNA, 495 nt
Filed under: uncultured bacterium
Lineage: Bacteria
Description: partial 16S ribosomal RNA
Rfam family: Bacterial small subunit ribosomal RNA
Source: RNAcentral